CAAAAUGUAGUGUACACAAAACACUUCGCUUACACCGAAGAGACAUCCGUUAAACCAGAUCAUUUUGA
RNAcentral lists this transfer RNA (68 nucleotides) under Oscaecilia ochrocephala. RNAcentral's name for it is "tRNA-Val". The record is from RNAcentral. Lineage: Eukaryota; Metazoa; Chordata; Amphibia; Gymnophiona; Caeciliidae.